CAGGUCACUCCUACGGGAGGCAGCAGUGGGGAAUCUUGCACAAUGGGGGAAACCCUGAUGCAGCGACGCCGCGUGAGCGAUGAAGCCCUUCGGGGUGUAAAGCUCUUUCGGCAGGGACGAUAAUGACGGUACCUGCAGAAGCAGCUGCGGCUAACUACGUGCCAGCAGCCGCGGUAAUACGUAGGCAGCGAGCGUUGUUCGGAGUUACUGGGCGUAAAGGGUGUGUAGGCGGCUUUUUAAGUUUGGUGUGAAAUCUCCCGGCUCAACCGGGAGGGUGCGCCGAAUACUGAAGGGCUAGAGUGCGGGAGAGGAGAGUGGAAUUCCUGGUGUAGCGGUGAAAUGCGUAGAUAUCAGGAGGAACACCGGUGGUGUAGACGGCUCUCUGGACCGUAACUGACGCUGAGACACGAAAGCGUGGGUAGCAAACAGGAUUAGAUACCCUGGUAGUCCACGCCCUAAACGAUGCAUAUUUGGUGUGGGUCAUUCAGUUGAUCCGUGCCGGAGCUAACGCGUUAAAUAUGCCGCCUGGGGAGUACAGUCGCAAGGCUGAAACUUAAAGGAAUUGACG
RNAcentral lists this ribosomal RNA (568 nucleotides) under uncultured Acidobacteriota bacterium. RNAcentral's name for it is "bacterial SSU rRNA". It matches the Rfam family "Bacterial small subunit ribosomal RNA", at positions 329 to 915 of the family's 1533-position model. The record is from RNAcentral. Lineage: Bacteria; Pseudomonadati; Acidobacteriota.